This 255-nucleotide ribosomal RNA is filed under the name uncultured bacterium. Its description in RNAcentral is "partial 16S ribosomal RNA". It matches the Rfam family "Bacterial small subunit ribosomal RNA", at positions 524 to 776 of the family's 1533-position model. The record is from RNAcentral.
UACGUAGGGCGCAAGCGUUGUCCGGAAUUAUUGGGCGUAAAGAGCUCGUAGGCGGCUUGUCACGUCGGGGUGUGAAAGCCCCGGGGGCUUAACCCCGGGUCUGCAUUCGAUACGGGCUGGCUGGAGUGUGGUAGGGGAGAUCGAAUUCCUGGUGUAGCGGUGAAAUGCGCAGAUAUCAGGAGGAACACCGGUGGCGAAGGCGGAUCUCUGGGCCAUUACUGACGCUGAGGAGCGAAAGCGUGGGGAGCGAACAGG